CAUUCCUAACACAUUUCUAUUGCUUUUAUGCAUAUAUUCAUUUAUUAACUUCCUCUUUAGGUAUAUCGAUGAAUCUGUUGGGAAAAGUUAGAAGCUAGGAUAUUUGAAUAAUUGUUAGCUGAAGUGAAAAGAUGACAAUUACCUAGACAAAAGUCGAUAUUUAUUUGAUUAGAGGAUAGUGUAGAUGAAGAUCAAGAUUAUCCACACUAGAGUAUUGCGCAAAGAAAUUGAAUAAACACGUCUUAAAUCUAUGCUGAAAUGCCAUUUCUACCAAUUAUAUGAUUCACUUUUAAAUUUUCUUGUGUUAAAUAAUUGAUAAUAAAAAUAUUAAUGUGAAUAAAUUGUGAUGAUAGUUAGAAAUAAAUA
Long non-coding RNA from Gordionus sp. m RMFG-2023, 366 nucleotides. RefSeq lists it as uncharacterized. The record is from RefSeq and is a predicted model, not a curated record. Lineage: Eukaryota; Metazoa; Nematomorpha; Gordioida; Chordodea; Parachordodidae. The transcript has 3 exons.